Molecule: ribosomal RNA, 387 nt
Filed under: Triticum aestivum (bread wheat)
Lineage: Eukaryota; Viridiplantae; Streptophyta; Magnoliopsida; Poales; Poaceae
Description: partial small subunit ribosomal RNA
Source: RNAcentral
AUGGUGGCUUCACACACCUUUGGAGAGCUACAGCAUGAGUUGGUCCAAGACGAAGAGAGCUAUGUGGCGAGAGUUUGUGCCUCCAACCUACAAGGAACAACUUCUAUGCCAAUUGGAGAACACCAUACAAGGAUCCAAGUCCAUCGACGCGUACUUAAAGGAGAUGAAGAUUGCCUUGUGACGAGCCGGCGUGGACGACCCCAUUUCGAUGAAGUUCCACUUCAUGAUGGGAUUAAACAACAACAUCUCCAAGACUAUCUUCCUCGAGAACUACAAGUCCCUCGACGACAACUACAUUGGUGCUCCCAAGGCGGAACAAGAACUCAUGAAGGCCAAGGCUUCUCCACCCCAAGCUCACUUCGCGACGACCAAGCUACAAGAGAAUGA